Molecule: small RNA, 125 nt
Filed under: Marmota monax (woodchuck)
Lineage: Eukaryota; Metazoa; Chordata; Mammalia; Rodentia; Sciuridae
Source: RNAcentral
GCUGGGUGCAGUGGCGCACGCCUGUAAUCCCAGCAGCUCAGGAAGCGAAGGCAGGAGGAUCGCAAGUUCAAAGUCAGCCUCAGCCAUGGGGUGGUGCCAAGCAAUUCAGUGAGACCCCGUCUCUU